UGAAGGAGAGACUCGAGGCGAGCCGGUCUGGACUCUCUGAGCCCGACAGGAGAGCAGCCAUCACAGCCGUCUGUCAUCCGUUUGGUAGAAACAAUCCGCCGAGCAAUAACCAGCAACGAGUAGAACCAAGAGACGCUGCAGAGUUUCACUGCAGAACCUGAACCGCUCCUCUCACUUCUGCUGUUUCUGGAGGUUUUCCUGCAUCUGCAUGAAAAAUGUUCCGUCUGCUGCACAGAUGUUUGUUAAUACGAACAAAGAUUCCUCCUGGAGACAACAAACUGAGUCUGAGCUCAGCCAGCUUGAAUUUAAAGAGAGUUUUAUCCAUUUUUUUAACCUAAAAUGAUGUUUUUAUUUGUGUUGUCAGCACUGGAGCUGAAACUGUUCAACUAUUUCAAGCACAAAUCGGAAAACGUGUCGACUUUUUGCUGUUUUACACGAGUGAAAACUGAAUAUUUGGACAAAGUUACACACUUGAGGACAUGUAAGAGACUAGAAAUCGAUUUUAGUGACAACUAUGCAACAAUGUCUGACCAGAAAUGAAGAAAAACACAUGAAUUAUUGACACUUACUGUAGAAUAAUGUUCAAACAGUCCCAGUUUUCUGUGCUUUUAGGUUUUCUAAAGUAUUUCUGAAUCAUUUCCUGUAAAAUUUGACUCAACAACUGGAUGGUUUAAUUUAGGACGUUAAACGAAACUGUAUUGGAGUUAAAAUCUUAUUAUUCUACUGCAGACAAGGAGCUCGUUGAAGUGAAAAACUGUUGAAAAUGUUCUUGGCUGCCAGGUUUGUUCAGAUUUUAGAAAAAAAAAAAAAACGUAAGAAAUGAGUUGAAGUCGUGCAGCAGAUGUGAUGUUUUUCCAUCCAGAUGAGUUUGUAAUUUCACAUUUUGUACAUUUAAACAGUGAGAAGUGGAAGACGAACUGUAAAGUGAAAGUUUGCAAUAAUCUGACGAUGGGAACUGGAAAGAAGAAGAAAAGUUUUCUGUAAAUAAAAGAUUCUUUGAGGCCACAGAAGCAGACGGUUUCUGGAGGAUCCGACUCAGUGAUUUUCGCCGUUAAACCGCCGAUACCUCCGACCCGACAGGAUCUGAACGUCGAACUGUGGAAAAGAUUCUGUUUCCUCACAGCGACAAUCAGCUGAUUUAAAGUUUGUUUUUUGGAGCCGAGCAGCGAAAUCACAGCCGAAUAGAUUUUAUUUUAACUUCGACAGGCAUCGAAUCAUCUGAGAUGAGGAGAAAUCUGCCCUGAAACGUUUUUAUUUUCUUUUUGUUUAAAGUUUUCCUUUUAAAGGAUCAGAUCUGCAGCUUUAACACAAACUCUUCUGAAUUCAAGAAAGUUUGGAAUUAUUUUUUUCAAAUGAUAAUAAUCAAUUGCCAGCUUUAGAUUCAACAGAUCUAUAAAGUUUAAACAAAAUUUAACUCCAAAAAGUCUAAAUUCUAUGAUUGCAGCGUAUUAAAUGUGAAUAUUUUUGACAGUAAACAGAAUAUCUGUGGACAAAACAAGACAUUUGUCGUCUUGAAAUCAUUCUAAUGAUUUUUUUUAAGCAUUUAUUGUCAUAAAAAUUUUAAUCUUCUCUCCAAAAUAUGAAAUUUGUUGCAUUUUGCAACAGUGUAAACUGAAUAUUUUUGCAGUUUUGGAUGUAAAAGGAGGUUUUCUUCACCAUUUUAUAAACCAAACAGUCAAUUAAUCCUGAAAAUAAUUAAUAUAAUUAAUAGUUAAUUUAAAUCAUUAAGUUGAAUGUCUGCAAGUAGCAGCUUUUAAUUGUUGAUUUUUUUCCAAAUAAUCCAAAUGAUAAUAUAAAAAUGUCAGUUUCUCACAUUUUAAAGCUGCAACCAUCAAUAGUUAGCUUGUAAAACAACUUUAUAUUGUUUAUUAAUCAGUUAUCAGAAGAGUUUUCUGAGUAUUGAUGCAUCUUUUCAGCUGUAAUUGCUGAAAAAAUGCAUUGGUAACUCCAAAAAGAAGGAAAAAUUGGUUCAAAAUGGUCCAUUGUUAUGCAAAAUGUACAAAAAAGCAGCAUUAUGUUCCUGUAAAUAUCCACAUAACUGUGCAAAAGUCAAAGAUGAUCAGUUUACAGUCAUGUUUGAUGAGAAAAAUCAAAUAUUUGGCUCCAAAAAUGAGUAAAAUUAUUCAUCAGAUAAUGAAAAAAGUUCAUCAUUUUAGCAGCAGUGUUUGAGACUUUUAGCAAAUGAGCUAAAACAUAAAAAAAAACAGAAACAUGAUCCUUUAAAUGUUCGAAAAUGAAAGAUUCACGUUAUAAUCAUGUUUAAUGAGUAAAAUCAAACAUUUGACCUGAAAAUUUUGUAAAAUUAUUUAUCAGAUUAGCAAAAAAGUUGUUUAUUUGUGCAUUAGAGAGUUUUUAGCAGAUGAGCUAAAUUAGCAGUACGGCCCUUUAAAUGUCCAAAACUCAAAGAAAUUCAGUUUACAGUGGCAUAGUCAGACUAAAGCAAAUGUCUGCUGUUUGUAACUUUUAACACAUCAGUUUAAACAUGAAAUAAAAACAGCUGUUUGGUCUUUUAAAUGUCCACAAAACUGAAGAUACUGAACAUAUAACGAUGUUUGAUGAGUAAAAUUAAAUGUUUGGCUUGAAAAGUGAAAUUAUUUAUCAGAUAAUGGAAACGAUUAUCUGUGCAGCAGAGUUUGUGACUGUUAGCAGAUGAGCUAAAUUAGCAGAAUGAGCCUUUAAAUGUCUGAAAACGAGCCCAAAAGUCAAAGAAAUUCAGUUUACAAUGACGUACACAGAUUAUAGAAAGACUGUUAGCAAUUGAGUAAAACAGCAUCAUGGUCCUUUAAAUGUCCGUCAAAACCUUCUGAAACUCAAAUAUUUGAACUUUCUAUUGACACGUUGGUUCAUUAAAUUCAUCACUUCUGGCAGAUUUCUCCUCAGAUCUGAAUCUAAACUCCUGGUUUGUUGUUGAACUCUGGUUCUGAUUCUGGUUUCUUAAACUUUCUAACUCGUCACAGUUUGAAUCUGCAGCUCUUUUCUAGACAUUUGUGUUCAUUUGCUCUGUUGAGAAUUUGUAUUUAUAUGUUUAAUAAACGUUCGGAUCUGCUUUCUGUUUGGUUUUUACCGUCAGAGGAAGGAUGUGGUCCGACCGACGCCGAGCUUAACCGUCAGAACAUCGGAGCUGCUGAGAAAAAGGCUGAAUCUGAGGUCAAGUAAUCAGGAUGUGAAAGUACACAAAUAGUAGUAAAAUCCACUGACAGACUUGACAGAAUAAUGAGGAUUCAUCAGACGUCUUCAGAAAUGUGUUCAGGAAGUUAAUUUAGACUCAUUUAAAGGGUUUAAAAAUGAAAGAAAACUGACCUCAAGAGACAAAAAUGAGACACAAAAAAGAAAAAUGACAAAUAAAAAUCACCACAAAGCAAACAGCAAACAAAACAACAGAAAAUUGACCGUCUCAGAUUUUGUUCAUCUUUAGAAGUGUCGUCUGUGACCCAAAACUAAGUUCUGUGAAAUAUUUUUGAGAAUUUCUUGUUUUCACAUCUGUAAAUUUACUGAAUUUUCUCUUCAUAGUUU
Molecule: long non-coding RNA, 3513 nt
Organism: Amphiprion ocellaris (clown anemonefish)
Lineage: Eukaryota; Metazoa; Chordata; Actinopteri; Pomacentridae
Source: Ensembl